UCCGCUAUUAAUAGGGUUCACGGCGUGUGAACCUAUACUUUGGUUAAUUCAUCGAUACUGCAUUCUGAUCAAAUGUGGUACUGUGAUGAUAAUCUUUAUGGGAGGAAGGAGACGUCCUUCCGUUAUGACCAUAUUGUCAUCAUGGAACUUUCGUUCUGAUGGAUUUUCUCUGUAUGGGUGAGCCUUUCUAAGUUUUAUCUUUUAAACGGCAUUGCCUUGUCUCCUAAGAUGGAUAAGUCCUUCUUGUGAUGCACCGUUAGCUUGUGAUGCACCGUUAGGGUGCACACUCAUGUGAAGGGUUUGGAACACCUCAAACCUGGAUGGAUGCAAGCAUCACCCUUUGGUAAGGUGGUGUUUUCAUUUGUGCGUUACUUGAAGGUCUGUCGGAAAUUCUCAUGCUCUAGCACUUUGUUUGCGUUAAAAGGGGUGAGUUUUAUUUGAAGUUAAGAAAGAAAAGGAAUAAACAAUUCUGGUCACAAUACUAUUACCGUGACACCUUCUUUUCUUCUUUUAGAAUUCACCUCCUUUUAGUGCAAUCCUAGUGUUCGGGGUGAGGGUUAAAGACUAGAUCCACGGAGCACUGUGCUCCUAGGGAAUUCUAGAAAUUAACUACUUCUAGAACGGAACACAUAAGACUAUGUAUACAAUACAAGGAAAGGAAAAAGGUCUCUUAGGGGUACCACAAAGAAAAGAAUCAAAAUAGCUAAAAAGAGUCUGCUUCCUUUAUCAUAUAUAUGAGAUAGUAGAUCACCUUUUUUUUUUGAAGCAAAAAAAAAGGUGAUCUACUGUUGUAGUCUUCUUGACAUAUCAAGUCAAGAGGGCGAGGCUCCUAGCAAUGGGGGGAAAGGGGAGUGGGUAAGCGGGCUCCUUUCACUUGACUGGUUAGUUAGGAGUGAUCUUUUUUCUACGAUGUUCGAGAUCUUUGUCUCGCAGAGGGUGAAAUGAGAUCUUCUUGGAACAAGGUCAGAGGCGUUGGACGGACCAGUUUCUUCUGAUUCCAAUGAUAGAUGGAUGGUCAGGUCGGUAACAUAUGGAUGGAGGACUUCUACAGGGUCUUCUCGUGCGCUCGACUAGCAAGGUGGUUUUGUAGGCGAACGAAAUAAGUUUUUGGAGGCGAGCGGAGUGAGGCAAUGAAAUUGUUUAGGCGAAAGAAAGGAGAGAACGAGUGGAGUUUCGAGAAUGAGAAUCAUAUAUUUUCUCAUUUCUUUUUCGUAGUAAGAAGACACUAAGACGCACCCACUACACACCACACACUCAGACGACUAGCGUGGUCCUUCCCCCAUCGAAGAGCCACGUAUCCAGGGUUGACCACAUCAUCACUGUUUUAUCAAGGUGUGGCCACGGUCUCAAUUGGGUCAUUGUUUAGUAUGCCCAAGCUUGACAAUAGCUGUGGAUAUUUUGAGUCCCUCAGAACGCAACUCCCUUAUGAGUUGGAAGCCAAGACAAAUGGAUUCCACUUCAUAGGUACCGUUCACCUCACGUGAAGGCUCGCUCAGAACACGUACCAAGCUUUUAUUAGAAAGGAACAGAACAAAGAGGAGUGCUCCACUCCGAAAGAGAAGGAACGGAAAGAGCAGGCGGCAGAGAAAGAGACAAGGAGGAAGAAGGGGGCACUACGGGAAGAGCAUCCAAGACGCGCUAAGGCAAAGGCAUAGAGCUCAAACACAGGCUUAGUAAGCACAGAUUCCCUAGAAAGAAAGAUAAUUCUAGAAAUUAACUACUUCUAGAACGGAACACAUAAGACUAUGUAUACAAUACAAGGAAAGGAAAAAGGUCUCUUAGGGGUACCACAAAGAAAAGAAUCAAAAUAGCUAAAAAGAGUCUGCUUCCUUUAUCAUAUAUAUGAGAUAGUAGAUCACCUUUUUUUUUUGAAGCAAAAAAAAAGGUGAUCUACUGUUGUAGUCUUCUUGACAUAUCAAGUCAAGAGGGCGAGGCUCCUAGCAAUGGGGGGAAAGGGGAGUGGGUAAGCGGGCUCCUUUCACUUGACUGGUUAGUUAGGAGUGAUCUUUUUUCUACGAUGUUCGAGAUCUUUGUCUCGCAGAGGGUGAAAUGAGAUCUUCUUGGAACAAGGUCAGAGGCGUUGGACGGACCAGUUUCUUCUGAUUCCAAUGAUAGAUGGAUGGUCAGGUCGGUAACAUAUGGAUGGAGGACUUCUACAGGGUCUUCUCGUGCGCUCGACUAGCAAGGUGGUUUUGUAGGCGAACGAAAUAAGUUUUUGGAGGCGAGCGGAGUGAGGCAAUGAAAUUGUUUAGGCGAAAGAAAGGAGAGAACGAGUGGAGUUUCGAGAAUGAGAAUCAUAUAUUUUCUCAUUUCUUUUUCGUAGUAAGAAGACACUAAGACGCACCCACUACACACCACACACUAAGACGACUAGCGUGGUCCUUCCCCCAUCGAAG
This 2396-nucleotide long non-coding RNA is filed under the name Capsicum annuum. RNAcentral's name for it is "long non-coding RNA (CANN_LNC020640)". The record is from RNAcentral. Lineage: Eukaryota; Viridiplantae; Streptophyta; Magnoliopsida; Solanales; Solanaceae.